RNAcentral lists this ribosomal RNA (803 nucleotides) under uncultured bacterium. Its description in RNAcentral is "bacterial SSU rRNA". It matches the Rfam family "Bacterial small subunit ribosomal RNA", at positions 80 to 877 of the family's 1533-position model. The record is from RNAcentral.
UUGCUUCUCUUGAGAGCGGCGGACGGGUGAGUAAUGCCUAGGAAUCUGCCUGGUAGUGGGGGAUAACGUUCGGAAACGGACGCUAAUACCGCAUACGUCCUACGGGAGAAAGCAGGGGACCUUCGGGCCUUGCGCUAUCAGAUGAGCCUAGGUCGGAUUAGCUAGUUGGUGGGGUAAUGGCUCACCAAGGCGACGAUCCGUAACUGGUCUGAGAGGAUGAUCAGUCACACUGGAACUGAGACACGGUCCAGACUCCUACGGGAGGCAGCAGUGGGGAAUAUUGGACAAUGGGCGAAAGCCUGAUCCAGCCAUGCCGCGUGUGUGAAGAAGGUCUUCGGAUUGUAAAGCACUUUAAGUUGGGAGGAAGGGUUGUAGAUUAAUACUCUGCAAUUUUGACGUUACCGACAGAAUAAGCACCGGCUAACUCUGUGCCAGCAGCCGCGGUAAUACAGAGGGUGCAAGCGUUAAUCGGAAUUACUGGGCGUAAAGCGCGCGUAGGUGGUUUGUUAAGUUGGAUGUGAAAUCCCCGGGCUCAACCUGGGAACUGCAUUCAAAACUGACUGACUAGAGUAUGGUAGAGGGUGGUGGAAUUUCCUGUGUAGCGGUGAAAUGCGUAGAUAUAGGAAGGAACACCAGUGGCGAAGGCGACCACCUGGACUAAUACUGACACUGAGGUGCGAAAGCGUGGGGGAGCAAACAGGAUUAGAUACCCUGGUAGUCCACGCCGUAAACGAUGUCAACUAGCCGUUGGGAAGCCUUGAGCUUUUAGUGGCGCAGCUAACGCAUUAAGUUGACCGCCUGGG